UACGUAGGGGGCAAGCGUUGUCCGGAUUUAUUGGGCGUAAAGAGCGUGUAGGCGGCCAAGCAGGUCAGCUGUGAAAACUCGAGGCUCAACCUCGAGACGUCGGUUGAAACCGCUUGGCUAGAGUCCGGAAGAGGAGAGUGGAAUUCCCGGUGUAGCGGUGAAAUGCGCAGAUAUCGGGAAGAACACCCGUGGCGAAGGCGGCUCUCUGGGCCAUUACUGACACUGAGAAGCGAAAGCAUGGGGAGCGAACAGG
RNAcentral lists this ribosomal RNA (253 nucleotides) under uncultured bacterium. Its description in RNAcentral is "partial 16S ribosomal RNA". It matches the Rfam family "Bacterial small subunit ribosomal RNA", at positions 524 to 776 of the family's 1533-position model. The record is from RNAcentral.